GUUCCUCAUCGCCUUUGUUUGUCGUGUCAAUGAUGACCAUGAAAAGAUUAGAGUCAUCACGAUGUAGCUCUUUAAGGAGAUUGAUAUCAAACCUAGGAAAAAGUUGCUUAGCUAGAGACAUGCACUUUUCAAAGCUGAUCUGGUAGGCCAUCAAAGAUGCCUUCAACACCCCAUGGAUGAGCCUGAUCUAGUUAACAUCAUAGUUCACCUCCACAAGAUCAACUUUGCCAUCGACGAAGUUGGUCACCGCCUUGCUCACCGCUAGCUCCAACUGAAGCUCUGCACUUAUUGAUCUCUCCCUGAUGAUGAACAUUCUAGGAUGGCAAUUCUCUCCUAUGCCAUGUGAAGCCUAUAUCAGAGUCGAACAACCUUCUCAGCACUGCCCCAUCUCACUUCUUCAACUGCCUUAUCCGAAUCCAAAAAGUGUUCUAGGAUGGCAAUCCUCUCUU
RNAcentral lists this long non-coding RNA (449 nucleotides) under Elaeis guineensis (African oil palm). RNAcentral's name for it is "long non-coding RNA (EGUI_LNC056578)". The record is from RNAcentral. Lineage: Eukaryota; Viridiplantae; Streptophyta; Magnoliopsida; Arecales; Arecaceae.